Molecule: non-coding RNA, 27 nt
Filed under: Cricetulus griseus (Chinese hamster)
Lineage: Eukaryota; Metazoa; Chordata; Mammalia; Rodentia; Cricetidae
Source: RNAcentral
AAAUGGGCCUCUGAUACAAAGACUUGU